Long non-coding RNA from Gopherus evgoodei (Goodes thornscrub tortoise), 704 nucleotides. RefSeq lists it as uncharacterized. The record is from RefSeq and is a predicted model, not a curated record. The transcript is spliced from 3 exons. Lineage: Eukaryota; Metazoa; Chordata; Testudines; Testudinidae.
UAUAGAUAAGGACCACACAGCUCAAAGAACCUCCGGUUACUACAAGGUAACUUUCUCUUCGAGUGCUGGUCCCCAUGUGUAUUCUAUCGUGGAUGACUGACAUACAGGAGAAUGCAUCGGUGGAAUGCUGUACAAAGCCUAAUCUCUUGCAAAUGUGUGACUGGAACUCCACAUAGCUUUUUUGCAAAUGUCUUGAAGCAAUGACACUGGUGUUGCUUGUGCUCUGAGCCCUCACCCCAUGACGGGGAGGAAUGUUAGACAGCUUAUAGCAAACUAAGAUACAGUGCAAGAUCCAUUUAGAGAUUCUCUGAGAAGAUAUAUCUUGACUUCGAACUCUUUCCGCUAGAGCUAUAAACAAUCUGGGAGAUUUUCUGAUUGUUUUUGUCCUUUGCAGGCAAAAUGCCAAGGCUCGUCGCAUGUUGAGGGAAUGAUAUCCCCUUUCUUUUUCAGAUGCAUGUGGUUUUGGAAGAAAACACAGAAUGAAGCCGAAGCUGCAGACACUGACGGUUCCAACCCAGACCAUGUGGUGGUGAGAAGGAACUGCAGAGACUGUUGGUCCGCCCUGUCUUUUAUCUCCUUGGUUGAAGGCACGAGUUCAUUAUUUAUCUAUGAGUAACACAGUGAAAGUCAAGCAGAAUGCAAGAACAGAAAGGCCAAUGAAGUCUUGUUUUCAUCUGCUAAUUUCACCAUUUCACUACAGUCAU